GAUGAACGCUGGCGGCGUGCCUAAUACAUGCAAGUCGAGCGAACAGACGAGGAGCUUGCUCCUCUGACGUUAGCGGCGGACGGGUGAGUAACACGUGGAUAACCUACCUAUAAGACUGGGAUAACUUCGGGAAACCGGAGCUAAUACCGGAUAAUAUAUUGAACCGCAUGGUUCAAUAGUGAAAGACGGUUUUGCUGUCACUUAUAGAUGGAUCCGCGCCGCAUUAGCUAGUUGGUAGGGUAACGGCUUACCAAGGCAACGAGGCGUAGCCGACCUGAGAGGGGGGGAGGCGGCAUGGGAGAGGAACCGGGGCCCAGACUCCGGGGGGAGGGACAAGAGGGAACCUUGCGGAAAGGGGGGAGCGCCUGAGGGAACACGCCGGAGGGGGAGACAAGGUCUUUGGGUGCGGAAAGCCGGUUUUUGGGGAAAAAACAAAUUUGGAGUAAAAAGCGCCGUUUUGGACGGAACCGAAUAAAAAAGCACCGGCAAACUACGUC
RNAcentral lists this ribosomal RNA (497 nucleotides) under uncultured bacterium. Its description in RNAcentral is "partial 16S ribosomal RNA". It matches the Rfam family "Bacterial small subunit ribosomal RNA", at positions 28 to 507 of the family's 1533-position model. The record is from RNAcentral.